RNAcentral lists this non-coding RNA (28 nucleotides) under Drosophila melanogaster (fruit fly). Lineage: Eukaryota; Metazoa; Arthropoda; Insecta; Diptera; Drosophilidae. The record is from RNAcentral.
UAGAACACUUCCUUGAGGCACUCCGGGU